RNAcentral lists this ribosomal RNA (253 nucleotides) under uncultured bacterium. RNAcentral's name for it is "partial 16S ribosomal RNA". It matches the Rfam family "Archaeal small subunit ribosomal RNA", at positions 474 to 727 of the family's 1478-position model. The record is from RNAcentral.
UACCCGCAGCACAAGUGGUGGUCAUUAUUAUUGGGCCUAAAGCGUCCGUAGCUGGCGUGUUAGAUGCCUGGGUAAAUCGAUGCGCUCAACGUAUCGAAUUCCGGGUAGACCGGCACGCUCGAGACCGGGAGAGGUGUAGGGUACUCGGGGGGUAGGGGUAAAAUCCUGUAAUCCUCCGGGGAGGACCAGUGGCGAAGGCGUCACGCUAGAACGGCUCCGACAGUGAGGGACGAAGCCCUGGGGCGCAAACCGG